GAUGAACGCUGGCGGCGUGCCUAAUACAUGCAAGUCGAGCGAACAGACGAGGAGCUUGCUCCUCUGACGUUAGCGGCGGACGGGUGAGUAACACGUGGAUAACCUACCUAUAAGACUGGGAUAACUUCGGGAAACCGGAGCUAAUACCGGAUAAUAUAUUGAACCGCAUGGUUCAAUAGUGAAAGACGGUUUUGCUGUCACUUAUAGAUGGAUCCGCGCCGCAUUAGCUAGUUGGUAAGGUAACGGCUUACCAAGGCAACGAUGCGUAGCCGACCUGAGAGGGUGGUCGGCCACACUGGAACUGAGACGCGGUCCAGACUCCUACGGGAGGCAGCAGUAGGGAAUCUUCCGCAAGGGGCGAAAGCCUGACGGAGCAACGCCGCGUGAGUGAUGAAGGUCUUCGGAUCGUAAAACUCUGUUAUUAGGGAAGAACAAAUGUGUAAGUAACUAUGCACGUCUUGACGGUACCUAAUCAGAAAGCCACGGCUAACUACGUG
This 497-nucleotide ribosomal RNA is filed under the name uncultured bacterium. RNAcentral's name for it is "partial 16S ribosomal RNA". It matches the Rfam family "Bacterial small subunit ribosomal RNA", at positions 28 to 507 of the family's 1533-position model. The record is from RNAcentral.